GAGAGAGAGAGAGAGGUUGGGGAAGAAGACGACCGACAUCCAUUCGUGGAACAGACGAACAGGUAAGAUAAGGUUGGUUCUUUUUCCUUUGCCCCUUCCUUUUUCUAAUAAUUAUAGAACAUAUGAAUAUAUGAGUUUAUGACGCAUUAUAGUCCCUGGAACUUCUAUUUUCUCACAUUCUAGUUCCUGAAACUUUUAUUUAUUUUUAUUUUUUAUAUAUAUUGGCAUAUCCCCGUAUCCUUGUUUUUGGAAAAAUGGCGUAUCGGAGUAUCCCCGUAUCGCGUACCGGUAUCCGUAUCCGCGUAUCCGGGCAACAUAGUCCACAUGCAGUUCAUUUUAUUCAAUUUUUUCUGGACUUGCUUGCACAGUGGGGACUGAACAUGUGAUUUCGUGAAGAAGCUUUGUAUUUGAGGCUGCAUUUGCUUACUCUAGUCAGUUCAAAAGGGUACAUUGCUAACUAUUUGGGCCAUCCGUGGAUUUUUGGAGUAAAAGUCGGUUUCAGUCUUUCACAUGAACAAGUUUGGUCCUAAUUGAGAAGCCUCUGCACCCCUGUUGCAUUGUUCUUACAUCAGUAUGAAGACACAUGAAGUUGAGAAUGAAGACUGAAGCCUUCAAAAUUUGUAGAAGUUCGCUCAAGCUUAGACCUACCCUAACAACAUUAACAAUGAUGAGCACCAUCAAGAUACAAAGGUGCUGCUGGACCAUGGGUUCACUCUGUGUUGACAUCAACCUUGGUGCAUGAUACUCAAGCAGGAUUUGAUGCAGGCGUCUUAUGCAUGCAAAACAAAAUAGCUCGAAUCCUCUUUCUUACAUUCAUGUGAAACUCUCUUAGAUCCGGGACCACCUCAAAGGGAGCUAUUAUGACAUAUUCUUGUUUAUUUAAGACAAGCGGUGAGAUCUCAUUCCAUUGCCAAUACUGGGACCAAUACAUGUCAGCAAUUUCGCCCUCUUGCCAUAUGCAUCUCCUCUCUUCUCUUGGGUAACUCUCAGGAUACCAGUCGAUUCUUUUUUCCCUUCCGCUGUUUUUUUGGGAGAUCUACAAGUAUUUGAAGCUACAAUCAUAGUAUAUGGCACAGGUGGUUGUUACUAUGAAAAAGAGGAAUGACAUGAAUGUGCAUAAGGCAAUUAGAACUGGCAGUGCUCAGAAUGGAUAAAUUGGAUCGUUAGGUGAAGAAUAUUUAAAUAAUUUACUCAAGUUAAAUGUUGGUAUAAAAAUGAAGCUUAACAGCUACAGAAGAUCCAAGAUCUACAAUGCUAUUCAAGCAGAUGAUACAUUUUGAGAACCAAGACCUGUUGAAAGAGACGUGACAAUUAUUUGCACAAGGCGCAGCGAGUAUAGCAUAUAAUAAAACUCAAGCAGGAAAAUGCAACCUUAUUCGGUAAGAGAAGAUGCUUGAAAGAAGGCAACUUAUAAAGGGGAAGCUCUGAUACAUGCAGUAUCGUUUCUGAGCCUGCAAAGGUAAACGAAUGCCAGAGAAGGGCGAGGAGCAGAGGAUUCGCGUGCACUGGAUACUGCAUCUCUGCAUGGCAAGAUUUUGCGCUGUCGACCACCGCUGCCCUGUCCAUCUCCUGCGGCCUCAAGGGAUGGGCUGCGUCUGGAUUUCAAUUCAGAGCCGUACCAUGUACAGUCUAUUGAUAUCUUGUAGAUAGCAAUCGUUGGAAGCUCUGGAUCUGCGACGCAUUUGUUCUACCUUUUAUGUGGCUGUCCAUAUGGUGGAGAUGUUGGACGCGGAUAUGGGCAGGGUUCAGCUGCCGUUGCUUUCAGUUUCAGAGCUGGUACCGAGCUACCACGGGGAGAUGCUGAUGGUCACGAGGCCGUAGCCGGGUCAAAGCGUAGUCAAAUUAAUUUGUUUGGUAACAUGCAGGCGGACACGGGACACCGCCAGUACUCAGUAGGCCGCCUGCGCUGCUGGUUGUCCAGAUCAGGACAUAUCGCCAGCAAUGGAAGCACUCGGCGGGUAAAAAGCCUUACCUGUUACCACAAGUUACUGAAUUUAUAUUCAUCACUAGCUGAGCACAUUGUGUGUAUCGUAUCUGCAUUCUGCACCCAUUCGUCGGAUUGUGCAUGUCGCAAAAUGGUUCAAAGUGCUGUAUCUUUUAUACUAUCAUAUAAGAGGAAGACAAGUCAAAUUAUGUGGUCUUCAUAAAGCAUAAAUAGCUCGUCCUGUGAUUUCGGUUU
Molecule: long non-coding RNA, 2179 nt
Organism: Panicum virgatum (switchgrass)
Lineage: Eukaryota; Viridiplantae; Streptophyta; Magnoliopsida; Poales; Poaceae
Exons: 4
Source: RefSeq, a predicted model, not a curated record